Molecule: long non-coding RNA, 324 nt
Organism: Lagopus leucura (white-tailed ptarmigan)
Lineage: Eukaryota; Metazoa; Chordata; Aves; Galliformes; Phasianidae
Exons: 3
Source: RefSeq, a predicted model, not a curated record
UCCUGUUCAUCAUCUCAUCGACAGUGUUGUACCUUUACUUUCUAAGGCUACACAGUGAGGGGUGGCUGUUGGAUGUAUUUCAACGCAUUCAUGGUGAAGAAGGUACAUUCUUCGUUCCAUUGGACUUAGAGAUUUCCAUUCAGGAACUGAGCUACAUUAUGAAAAGAGCUGAGCAGUGGAGAGGAAUCAAUGGUGAAAGACGGAUGGUACACAGAUUACAUGGCCACAAUCACAUUUACGCAGCAGUCUGGAAUGCACUGCGGGGAGAGAGCCACCAGAGCCCGGCACAGCACAGAAACACACUUGAUUAUUUUGGAAGAAGUC